AAGACUUUAUGUUAAUAAAACAAUUAACCUUCAAAGUUAAAAAUACAAGUAAAAUUCUUGUAAGUCUUA
RNAcentral lists this transfer RNA (69 nucleotides) under Orthetrum sabina. RNAcentral describes it as "tRNA-Trp". It matches the Rfam family "tRNA". From Rfam's summary of the family: Transfer RNA (tRNA) molecules are approximately 80 nucleotides in length. Lineage: Eukaryota; Metazoa; Arthropoda; Insecta; Odonata; Libellulidae. The record is from RNAcentral.